UGAGGAAUAUUGCGCAAUGGGCGAAAGCCUGACGCAGCGACGCCGCGUGGAGGAUGAAGGUUUUCGGAUUGUAAACUCCUGUUAAGUGGGAAGAAACGACAAAAUAUAAUACAUUUUGUAACUGACGGUACCAUUAAAGAAAGCACCGGCUAACUUCGUGCCAGCAGCCGCGGUAAUACGAGGGGUGCAAGCGUUAUUCGGAAUUAUUGGGCGUAAAGGGUGCGUAGGCGGCGUAUUAAGUCAACUGUUAAAACCUCCAGCCUAACUGGAGAUCAGCAGUAGAUACUGGUAUGCUAGAGGAUGGAAGGAGAGAGUGGAAUUCUUGGAGUAGCGGUGGAAUGCGUAGAUCUCAAGAGGAACACCAAUGGCGAAGGCAGCUUCUUGGUCCAUAUCUGACGCUGAUGCACGAAAGCGUGGGGAGCAAAACAGGAUUAGAUACCCUGGUAGUCCGCGCCGUAAACGAUGAUUACUAGAUGUUAAUUCUGCUUGCAGAAUUAGUGUCGUAGCUAACGCGAUAAGUGAUCCGCCUGGGGGACUACGGUCGCAAGAUUAAAACUCAAA
Molecule: ribosomal RNA, 561 nt
Filed under: uncultured bacterium
Lineage: Bacteria
Description: partial 16S ribosomal RNA
Rfam family: Bacterial small subunit ribosomal RNA
Source: RNAcentral